GGGACAAUCCUACAAUAGACGUGGAAGUAAAUCAAAAAGUGGAAUCGAUCAUGUUCCCGAUGUGGCUACCAUUUCCUGAAUCGGAAUUUAAAUCUUCAGCGGUUGUUAUAAAAUGUUUACUUGUAUCCGCUUGUACUUUUAUGUACAUAGUUUUCUGUAUGAUCUUUCUUGCACUAAUGAUUUAUUGUGUUUGGUUAUUGAAAAUGCAACAGGCGAAAAUUCAUAAGUGCAACUGGGACUCGUAUGACAUGGCAGCAAAUCCAUCUGCUGAUAUGACGGCUCUUAUUAUAAACAACCUGCGUGUAUUUGGAUUUAUUGAGCAUGUAGAUAAAUCUGUUAGAUAUGCUAUUUUGGUCGAUGUUCUCCUGAAUUCCAUCAAUAUUGCAUCUCUUGCGACGAGUUGGCGCGGGGCUGCGCAAACGGCUUGGUGCUCCAACCCAAAGCACCGGCGCAGUAACUCGGUUCAAUUGCUGGGA
Dendroctonus ponderosae (mountain pine beetle) is the source of this 476-nucleotide long non-coding RNA. RefSeq lists it as uncharacterized. The record is from RefSeq and is a predicted model, not a curated record. The transcript has 3 exons. NCBI's taxonomy places the organism in Eukaryota, Metazoa, Arthropoda, Insecta, Coleoptera, Curculionidae.